RNAcentral lists this ribosomal RNA (383 nucleotides) under uncultured eukaryote. Its description in RNAcentral is "partial 18S ribosomal RNA". It matches the Rfam family "Eukaryotic small subunit ribosomal RNA", at positions 592 to 976 of the family's 1831-position model. The record is from RNAcentral.
CAAUAGCGUAUAUUAAAGUUGUUGCAGUUAAAAAGCUCGUAGUUGGAUUUCUGGUAGGAGUGACCGUGCCAGACUUGAUUGUCUGUGUAUUGUGUUGUCUCCAGCCAUCCUUGUGGAGAACUUUUCUUGCAUUAAUUUGUAGGGAUUGGGACCCGCAUCGUUUACUGUGAAAAAAUUAGAGUGUUUAAAGCAGGCAAUCGCUUGAAUACAUUAGCAUGGAAUAAUAAGAUAGGACUUUGGUACUAUUUUGUUGGUUUGCAUACCAAAUUAAUGAUCAACAGGAACAGUUUGAGGAUAUUCGUAUGAACGUGUCAGAGGUGAAAUUCUUGGAUUUUGAUCAGACGAACUACUGCGAAAGCAUUUAUCAAGGAUGUUUUCAUUAA